ACGGGUGAGUAACGCGUAUGCAACCUACCUAUCAGAGGGGAAUAAUCCGGCGAAAGUCGGACUAAUACCGACAUAAAACAGGGGCACCGCAUGGUGAUAUUUGUUAAAGAAAUUCGCUGAUAGAUGGGCAUGCGUUCCAUUAGGUAGUUGAUGAGGUAACGGCUCACCAAGCCGACGAUGGAUAGGGGAACUGAGAGGUUGGUCCCCCCACACUGGUACUGAGACACGGACCAGACUCCUACGGGAGGCAGCAGUGAGGAAUAUUGGUCAAUGGGCGGGAGCCUGAACCAGCCAAGUCGCGUGAAGGAAGAAGGAUCUAUGGUUCGUAAACUUCUUUUGCAGGGGAAUAAAGUGCAGGACGUGUCCUGUUUUGUAUGUACCCUGAGAAUAAGGAUCGGCUAACUCCGUGCCAGCCGCCGC
RNAcentral lists this ribosomal RNA (420 nucleotides) under uncultured bacterium. Its description in RNAcentral is "bacterial SSU rRNA". It matches the Rfam family "Bacterial small subunit ribosomal RNA", at positions 102 to 518 of the family's 1533-position model. The record is from RNAcentral.